GUGAGUAACACGUGGAUAACCUACCUAUAAGACUGGGAUAACUUCGGGAAACCGGAGCUAAUACCGGAUAAUAUAUUGAGCCGCAUGGUUCAAUAGUGAAAGACGGUUUUGCUGUCACUUAUAGAUGGAUCCGCGCCGCAUUAGCUAGUUGGUAAGGUAACGGCUUACCAAGGCAACGAUGCGUAGCCGACCUGAGAGGGUGAUCGGCCACACUGGAACUGAGACACGGUCCAG
Molecule: ribosomal RNA, 234 nt
Filed under: uncultured Staphylococcus sp.
Lineage: Bacteria; Bacillati; Bacillota; Bacilli; Caryophanales; Staphylococcaceae
Description: partial 16S ribosomal RNA
Rfam family: Bacterial small subunit ribosomal RNA
Source: RNAcentral